Drosophila melanogaster (fruit fly) is the source of this 551-nucleotide non-coding RNA. Lineage: Eukaryota; Metazoa; Arthropoda; Insecta; Diptera; Drosophilidae. The record is from Ensembl.
UACAGCGAACCAGCAAAUAGAGGCACUCUCUUCGACCGACUGAGUGUGUUGGUGAGCUGUGUAAAAUACACGCGAGUAAAGUGCGUGUAAAAUGUGACAUAAUCAAAUGUGACGCAUUCACACACACACACACACACACAACCGGUGUAUGUGCUGAAUAAAUUCUCAGGAGAAGAGAAAACCGAGACUCUGAAACCGGACGACGAACGACAACAAAACGCACGACUGUUGUUGCUUUUGCUUAUCAACUUUGCCAGUUUAUUCGCAGCAUAUCAACACCCUACCCGAAUUCGCAAGUCGGGCUUAACUGUUCUUGUAGACCCUUCGCCUGUUACCUUCAAAAUGACAACCAAUACCCGAUACUGACACAAACUGUAGAAAUAUUUUAGUUUCGUAAUUAGAAUCUAGUCACAAACAGUUUAUUUUGAUUAACUAAAAAAUUGUAAAUAACAAAAUGAUAUUUUCAAAUAAAUUUGAUCUAAUAAACUUACUUUCAUGGUAGUGGUGGGAUCACAUUAUCAUAUCUAAAAAUUACGCACCAUAAAAGUUUU